Molecule: transfer RNA, 52 nt
Filed under: Leptodictyum riparium
Lineage: Eukaryota; Viridiplantae; Streptophyta; Bryopsida; Hypnales; Amblystegiaceae
Description: partial tRNA-Leu
Source: RNAcentral
UAAAAUCCGUUGGCUUUAUUGACCGUGAGGGUUCAAAGUCCCUCUACCCCCA